UACGUAGGUGGCAAGCGUUGUCCGGAUUUACUGGGCGUAAAGAGCGCGCAGGCGGUCGUUCAAGUCGAGUGUGAAAGCCCCCGGCUCAACUGGGGAGGGUCACUCGAUACUGAUCGACUUGAAGGCAGGAGAGGGAAGCGGAAUUCCCGGUGUAGUGGUGAGAUGCGUAGAUAUCGGGAGGAACACCAGUGGCGAAGGCGGCUUCCUGGCCUGUUCUUGACGCUGAGGCGCGAAAGCUAGGGGAGCAAACGGG
This 253-nucleotide ribosomal RNA is filed under the name uncultured bacterium. Its description in RNAcentral is "partial 16S ribosomal RNA". It matches the Rfam family "Bacterial small subunit ribosomal RNA", at positions 524 to 776 of the family's 1533-position model. The record is from RNAcentral.